GAUCAUGGCUCAGGAUGAACGCUAGCGACAGGCCUAACACAUGCAAGUCGAGGGGCAUCACGAGGUAGCAAUACUUUGGUGGCGACCGGCGCACGGGUGCGUAACGCGUAUGUAACCUACCUAUAACAGGGGCAUAACACUGAGAAAUUGGUACUAAUUCCCCAUAAUAUUCGGAGAGGCAUCUCUCCGGGUUGAAAACUCCGGUGGUUAUAGAUGGACAUGCGUUGUAUUAGCUAGUUGGUGG
RNAcentral lists this ribosomal RNA (244 nucleotides) under uncultured bacterium. Its description in RNAcentral is "partial 16S ribosomal RNA". It matches the Rfam family "Bacterial small subunit ribosomal RNA", at positions 15 to 255 of the family's 1533-position model. The record is from RNAcentral.